AUUGUGAUCUUGAAUCAUUCUUCCCAUUAUGCACCACUGAUGGAAGUACCUUUUUCUCUCCCUGCCAUGCUGGAUGUUCUAAUGUAACUGGAACGGUUUAUCAUGAAUGCCCUACAAAAGAUCGAUCGGCGACUCCAGGAAUUUGUGAUACAGGGUGUCCGUUUCUUGUACCGUAUGUGAUUGCAUCAGUUAUCAAAAUACUGGCUGCAACUAUGGCAACAGUACCAACUCAGAUCAUCAUUCUACGGUACGUAAGUGGACAGGACAAGGCACUAGGAAUAGGAUUUAUGUCCUUUGUUAUGUCUCUGCU
Molecule: long non-coding RNA, 310 nt
Organism: Saccostrea echinata
Lineage: Eukaryota; Metazoa; Mollusca; Bivalvia; Ostreida; Ostreidae
Exons: 3
Source: RefSeq, a predicted model, not a curated record